Molecule: long non-coding RNA, 1168 nt
Organism: Hermetia illucens (black soldier fly)
Lineage: Eukaryota; Metazoa; Arthropoda; Insecta; Diptera; Stratiomyidae
Exons: 3
Source: RefSeq, a predicted model, not a curated record
GAUGCCAUAGGUGACAGCCAUUUGACAGCUUUCCUAAUUUUGUUGGCAAACAAACUAGUUUCGGACAAAACGUUCCUUUGAUCGUAAGAGUUGUGACAGAUUUUUAUUUAAGAAUAUCAACCUGAAGCUUGAAUAUUGCAUUGAAAGUCAGUAAAAGUUGUAGGAGUAUUGCUGUGCCUGCGUGGUCUCAUCGCGGUAUUCUUGCCUAAGACAAUAAUUAAUGAAGAACUUGAUCGGCGUACGGGGCAGAUACACGUAGACGUGUUGAUCAGAAAAUGGAAGGAAGUGGUAGUGGAUAAAUCGCACAUUAAGGAAGUGCGUGCAUCUCCCGGGUUAUGCCAUGCAAUACAAUCCACUAUCCCAGGACUACCGACGAGUGAGUCUCCGCGUUGCAACGACGGAUGCACGGAAACCAUAUUAUAAAUGAAUUCACUGUCCAUUUCGACUUAAUCUUCUCCUAGUACAAAACGAUAAGAACUUGAAUUUUGUUUUACUAGAUUUAUGGAAAAUUCAGUAGAAAACAAAAUGCAGUAACUGCUCUAGUGGUGAUAUUCAUUUUUAAACACCGACAAACUAUUAUUAAGAAUCACAAGUUCAUAGAUCCUGUUCAAAAGCUGGCGACUCGUGCACCACGAAAAUUGAGUUAUCUUCCGCACGGCAAUGUACAUCAUUAUAGAAAGGAGUAAUCUCCAGAAUUUACUUUCGCCAAGGAAUGAUCAUUUUUUCCACUAGAUGUCCAGUCAUAUGAAGAGAAUUAUCUUCCACAAAAAUCUGGACCUUAAAAACUGGCUCAUCAACGUCUUCGACACAUUACUAGGCAAUUUUUGGAGAAAAGAUAUUGAUAGACUGGAAGCAUGAUUCUCCUUUUAAGUUAGUUACUUCGUUCCAAUUAUUUUAAGUUAAAAAGGAUGUCAUGUCAUUUUGAAUUUGUUUAGACAAAACAGCUAUUCCACAAAUUCGAUUAAAAACUUUCGAAAGAAACAAAAUUGAAAACUAGUCAGGAUAACAAGUGAUGAUAUUGCAUGCGUAUUUCUAAGUCUGAGAAAUGGUUUUGUGAAAAGAAAACAGAAAAAGUGUAGACACUCCUAUAAUAAAAAGAGUUCAAUUCCUGUUCAGUACCUAUACAUUACCAAAAACCUAACUGUAAAUAAAAGAUAAUUAGUGCGGG